RNAcentral lists this ribosomal RNA (256 nucleotides) under uncultured bacterium. RNAcentral describes it as "partial 16S ribosomal RNA". It matches the Rfam family "Bacterial small subunit ribosomal RNA", at positions 524 to 777 of the family's 1533-position model. The record is from RNAcentral.
UACAGAGGGGGCAAGCGUUGUUCGGAAUUACUGGGCGUAAAGAGCGUGUAGGCGGCCAUACAGGUCAGCUGUGAAAACUCGAGGCUCAACCUCGAGACGUCGGUUGAAACCGUAUGGCUAGAGUCCGGAAGAGGAGAGUGGAAUUCCCGGUGUAGCGGUGAAAUGCGCAGAUAUCGGGAAGAACACCCGUGGCGAAGGCGGCUCUCUGGGACGGUACUGACGCUGAGACGCGAAAAGCGUGGGGGAGCGAACAGGG